UAAGACGGAGGGGGCAAGCGUUGUCCGGAAUUACUGGGCGUAAAGCGCAUGUAGGCGGUCGCGUACGGCGGUGGUGAAAGCUCCCGGCUCAACUGGGAGAGGCCCAUCGCAACGGCGUGACUGGAGGUUGGUAGAGGCAGAUGGAAUUCCUGGUGUAGCGGUGAAAUGCGUAGAGAUCAGGAGGAACACCCGUGGCGAAGGCGGUCUGCUGGGCCAUACCUGACGCUGAGAUGCGAAAGCGCGGGGAGUGAACGGGAUUAGAUACCCCGGUAAUCCGCGCCGUAAACGAUGGAUACUAGGUGUCAGCAGCAUCGACCCUGCUGGUGCCGCAGCUAACGCAGUAAGUAUCCCGCCUGGGGAGUACGGCCGCAAGGUU
RNAcentral lists this ribosomal RNA (376 nucleotides) under uncultured bacterium. RNAcentral describes it as "bacterial SSU rRNA". It matches the Rfam family "Bacterial small subunit ribosomal RNA", at positions 521 to 895 of the family's 1533-position model. The record is from RNAcentral.